This 406-nucleotide long non-coding RNA is filed under the name Homo sapiens (human). RNAcentral describes it as "HSALNT0233118". Lineage: Eukaryota; Metazoa; Chordata; Mammalia; Primates; Hominidae. The record is from RNAcentral.
CCGGUAGGCGGGGCUCGGACACAAAGAAAAGGCCAGGCCUACCACUCCUAUGGCACAGUAUUGAUGAGAGACAUCAGUGGAGCUCCCCACCUCCACCCCAGGCUUGGAACUUAGGGAAUGACUGGUUUUUGUCAUUUCACACAACAGCUGAAGGAUUCUGUCCCCACCUCGUCCUCUGUGAAGUCUGCUGGACGUACCUGCCAGAAUCUUCUGAAGAUGACGUUUGCUGAACACUGACCCACAGGGGUUUGAUGGAUUAUUGACAAUGAGACAAGCUGUCUUUUCAUCAAUUAGAUAUUCCAGUUGUUUCAGGUCAAUUUCCCAAGAUUUCUCUGGCUGGAGAGAAAGAAAGGAUGAGACUAAGAUGAUUCUGAAACAUUUAGGGGGAAUCCUCACUUAUCUCAAG